ACUCCUGGUGCUCGCGUAGACUAGACCAGUGCGAUGGGCGGAGCCAACGAGGAGGCACAAUUUACAUCCUUGGCCGUCCCUACUCGGAUUUGCUGAAGGAGUCACGUCGGUCGUUAAGGUUAAGCUUUGUAGAGAACAGCGGCGUUUGUUUAACGUCCGGGGAUGCUGAACUCGAAAUCCCCGUUCUGAGCCGGCUACCUAAACAACCUUCCCGACCACCUCUCCUGACCUCGGUGCUUGGGACCAGGGAAAAGCAGAUCUUGCCACAGACUUGUCUUGGCCCACACUCUGCCCUAUCGUCAUGGCCUGCUCCCACAGGUCAUAACUUCCGUUCAAAUCAGUACCCCCACAUUUCCCACUGCAAGGGUAAAUUUGAAAGUUUCUCAGGUGACUCCUUGGAUGUAGCAGUACUGAGUCCUCUAACCGGAAAGAAGGAACUGAUGUCCACCCUCACUUUCCAGGGGCCUCCAGGAGCCCCUAGACACUUCUGUGGUCUACUGUAGCUACCAAAAAUGUAGCUGGUUAUAACAUGGGGAGAGCCAGAGUCGGAGGACCUGACUUCCAAUUCUGACUUGGAUACUAAUAUCACAUCAUUGUACCCAUUUCAAACUCCCCCUCUGUAAAAUGGAAAAUUGGACUAGAUGAUCUCUUAGGACUUCAAACUGUAACCCUGUGGUUUUAUUCAAAAAAAACAGGUAGCUUCUUGCUGGAGAUUCCUGGAUGGAUUCCAGUCUUCCCAAGAGGUAACAAAGGAGAGGUAACCAGUUGCCCGUGCAGUAGCUCAAGAAUACAGAAGAGAAACUGGCUUCACUCACUAUUCCAUCUUUUUCCAAGGUGGCAAACUCUAUGCCUCCUCCCCAGAGAAAAGCCUAACUGUAGGUUCUAAUGGACAAGAGCUCACUGUAGCUGGUCAGAAAGGCCUAUAUCCAGGACUACAAUAGUCAUUGCUCAGCUUCCUAAGUAGGGAAUACAACUAGGCCCCUUUGGGUCUUGGAUAGGCUAAGAGGACAGAUCUGAACAUGCCUGGGUCUAAGUGAGGUGUGGGAAAA
RNAcentral lists this long non-coding RNA (1049 nucleotides) under Homo sapiens (human). RNAcentral describes it as "non-protein coding lnc-REM2-4:1". The record is from RNAcentral. Lineage: Eukaryota; Metazoa; Chordata; Mammalia; Primates; Hominidae.